CCUACGGGUGGCUGCAGUGGGGAAUAUUGGACAAUGGGGGCAACCCUGAUCCAGCCAUGCCGCGUGUGUGAAGAAGGCCCUCGGGUUGUAAAGCACUUUCAGUGAGGAAGAACGCCUGGUGGUUAAUACCCAUCAGGAAAGACAUCACUCACAGAAGAAGCACCGGCUAACUCCGUGCCAGCAGCCGCGGUAAUACGGAGGGUGCGAGCGUUAAUCGGAAUUACUGGGCGUAAAGCGCGCGUAGGUGGCUUGAUAAGCCGGUUGUGAAAGCCCCGGGCUCAACCUGGGAACGGCAUCCGGAACUGUCAAGCUAGAGUGCAGGAGAGGAAGGUAGAAUUCCCGGUUUAGCGGUGAAAUGCGUAGAGAUCGGGAGGAAUACCAGUGGCGAAGGCGGCCUUCUGGACUGACACUGACACUGAGGUGCGAAAGCGUGGGUAGCAAACAGGAUUAGAUACCCUUGUAGUC
This 465-nucleotide ribosomal RNA is filed under the name Vreelandella stevensii. RNAcentral's name for it is "partial 16S ribosomal RNA". It matches the Rfam family "Bacterial small subunit ribosomal RNA", at positions 338 to 795 of the family's 1533-position model. The record is from RNAcentral. Lineage: Bacteria; Pseudomonadati; Pseudomonadota; Gammaproteobacteria; Oceanospirillales; Halomonadaceae.